Molecule: ribosomal RNA, 272 nt
Filed under: uncultured bacterium
Lineage: Bacteria
Description: partial small subunit ribosomal RNA
Rfam family: Bacterial small subunit ribosomal RNA
Source: RNAcentral
AGAAUCAACGCUGGCGGCGUGCCUCAGACAUGCAAGUCGAACGCGAAAGCCCCCUUCGGGGGCAAGUAGAGUGGCGCACGGGUGAGUAACACGUAGGUAAUCUACCUUCGGAUGGGGAAUAACAAUCGGAAACGAUUGCUAAUACCGCAUAAUGCAGCGGCACCUAAUGGUGACAGUUGUUAAAGCGGGGGAUCGAAAGACCUCGCGUCUGAAGAGGAGCCUGCGGCGGAUUAGCUAGUUGGUAAGGUAAUGGCUUACCAAGGCAACGAUCC